Molecule: long non-coding RNA, 486 nt
Organism: Mauremys mutica (yellowpond turtle)
Lineage: Eukaryota; Metazoa; Chordata; Testudines; Geoemydidae
Exons: 3
Source: RefSeq, a predicted model, not a curated record
GGUCCUUCAAACAAACACACACACAGACAGACAAACACAAGCUCAACAAACAGCAAGUAACCCCCAAACACAAACACACACUAUCAACAUCCACUUACCCCAAGUGAUUGUUAUCCUAGCUAACUGGAAUAUGAAGAACUACCUUAUCUGCCCUGCAUCAGUAGAACAAUGACCUAAAAUUACACGUUUGGUCAUGUGAUUCAAGUACACAACCCCUCAAGUAGAUUGCAUCAAGACAGUUACAUAAAGCUCUAUAGAGAUCUAACAGCUCAGCUCCUUAACACAAGGAGAAACUUUUAGGAAGGCCAACUAAUAAGAACACCAUCACCCAUUAGACAUCAAGACAGUGGAGCCUUCUCGCCUCACCAGAAGCAUGAUGUUUUGGAAAAAAUACCAGUACUUUUGUGGGGAUUUUCUUCAGUUUCCCUACCAGAUGCUAUUUCCUAUUCUCCUGUGAGAGCGACCACGGCACCUCCUUAAAGGGCU